UCCCUGGUGGUCUAGUGGUUAGGCUUCAGCGCUCUCACCGCCGCGGCCCGGGUUUGAUUCCCGGUCGGGGAA
RNAcentral lists this transfer RNA (72 nucleotides) under Perca flavescens (yellow perch). It matches the Rfam family "tRNA". Rfam says of the family: Transfer RNA (tRNA) molecules are approximately 80 nucleotides in length. Their secondary structure includes four short double-helical elements and three loops (D, anti-codon, and T loops). Lineage: Eukaryota; Metazoa; Chordata; Actinopteri; Perciformes; Percidae. The record is from Rfam by way of RNAcentral.